Molecule: ribosomal RNA, 1013 nt
Filed under: Colletotrichum gloeosporioides
Lineage: Eukaryota; Fungi; Ascomycota; Sordariomycetes; Glomerellales; Glomerellaceae
Description: partial 18S ribosomal RNA
Rfam family: Eukaryotic small subunit ribosomal RNA
Source: RNAcentral
CGUCUAGUUAAGCAAUUAUACCGUGAAACUGCGAAUGGCUCAUUAAAUCAGUUAUCGUUUAUUUGAUAGUACCUUACUACUUGGAUAACCGUGGUAAUUCUAGAGCUAAUACAUGCUGAAAACCCCAACUUCGGAAGGGGUGUAUUUAUUAGAUAAAAAACCAAUGCCCUUCGGGGCUUCUUGGUGAUUCAUGAUAACUAAACGGAUCGCAUGGCCUUGCGCCGGCGACGGUUCAUUCAAAUUUCUGCCCUAUCAACUUUCGAUGGUAAGGUAUUGGCUUACCAUGGUUUCAACGGGUAACGGGGAAUUAGGGUUCGAUUCCGGAGAGGGAGCCUGAGAAACGGCUACCACAUCCAAGGAAGGCAGCAGGCGCGCAAAUUACCCAAUCCCGACACGGGGAGGUAGUGACAAUAAAUACUGAUACAGGGCUCUUUUGGGUCUUGUAAUUGGAAUGAGUACAAUUUAAACCUCUUAACGAGGAACAAUUGGAGGGCAAGUCUGGUGGACAUUCAGCUCCCAUUCUGCUGACGCCAGAGAUAGUCGGGCGGCCCUUUGGGCUGUUAUGCCGGCUAGUCGCGCACCUGUCGAUGGAUGGGGAGGUGCCGGCAAGACAACCUGGAUCGGGGAAGGCUAAGGUGCGUAAGCGCUAUGCUAAUCCCGAGCAGAGCUUGUGCGGAGCGAUCCGCAUGAUAGCCUGUGUAGAGCACGGUAAGGUGUCGGCCUACUCUCUGAGUAGGCUUAAGGUACGUGCCAAUCCCAUCCGAAAGGGGUGGCUGUCAACAGUAGCGCCCAUCACGCGAAGGUUGACAGGUCCGAAUUGUGCGGGUAGCGUGCGCACGUUCGGAGUAGCAAUGGCCAGCAGCCGCGGUAAUUCCAGCUCCAUAGCGAAUAUUAAAGUUGUUGCAGUUAAAAAGCUCGUAGUUGAACCUUGGGCCUGGCUGGCAGGCCGCCUCACCGCGUGGACUUGUCCGGCCGGGCCUUUCCUUCUGGAGACCUCAUGCCCUUCCCUUGGG